Molecule: ribosomal RNA, 460 nt
Filed under: uncultured bacterium
Lineage: Bacteria
Description: partial 16S ribosomal RNA
Rfam family: Bacterial small subunit ribosomal RNA
Source: RNAcentral
CCUACGGGAGGCAGCAGUGAGGAAUAUUGGUCAAUGGUCGCGAGUCUGAACCAGCCAAGUCGCGUGCAGGAAGACGGCCCUAUGAGUUGUAAACUGCUUUUGUACGGGGGUAAACUGAGUCACGUGUGACUUUUUGAAAGUACCGCAUGAAUAAGGAUCGGCUAAAUCCGUGCCAGCAGCCGCGGUAAUACGGAGGAUCCGAGCGUUAUCCGGAUUUAUUGGGUUUAAAGGGUGCGUAGGCGGCCGGUUAAGUUCGCCGUGAAAUUCCGGGGCUCAACCAUGGAACUGCGGCGGAAACUGGUUGGCUUGAGAGCGCGGGAGGUAGGCGGAAUGCGUGGUGUAGCGGUGAAAUGCUUAGAGAUCACGAAGAACUCCGAUUGCGAAGGCAGCAUACGGGAGCGCUACUGACGCUGAAGCACGAAGGCGUGGGGAGCGAACAGGAUUAGAUACCCGAGUAGUC